GUGCUCACUUUGGCAGCGCAUAUAUUAAAGUUGGAAUGAUAUAGAGAAAAUUAGCACAGCUAUUGCAUCAGGAAGGCAUUAGUAUUAGGUAUAAAGUAUCCUAAUAAUUUUU
Molecule: non-coding RNA, 112 nt
Organism: Erinaceus europaeus (western European hedgehog)
Lineage: Eukaryota; Metazoa; Chordata; Mammalia; Eulipotyphla; Erinaceidae
Source: Rfam